RNAcentral lists this ribosomal RNA (379 nucleotides) under uncultured eukaryote. Its description in RNAcentral is "partial 18S ribosomal RNA". It matches the Rfam family "Eukaryotic small subunit ribosomal RNA", at positions 592 to 976 of the family's 1831-position model. The record is from RNAcentral.
CAAUAGCGUAUAUUAAAGUUGUUGCGGUAAAAAAGCUCGUAGUUGGAUUUCUGUUGAGAGCGACCGGUCCAUACCAUGUAUGCGUAUCUGGCUUGCUCUCGACAUCCUCUCGAUAGACGUUACUGCGCUUGAUUGCGUGGUGCGGAUCUCGGGACUUUUACUUUGAGGAAAUUAGAGUGUUCACGGCAGGCUUUCGCCAGAAUACAUUAGCAUGGAAUAAUACUAUAGGAUCUUGGUUCUAUUUUGUUGGUUUCUAGAAUUGAGAUAAUGAUUAAUAGGGACAAUUGGGGGCAUUCGUAUCAACACGUCAGAGGUGGAAUUCUUGGAUUGUGUUGCGACGAACUACUGCGAAAGCAUUUGCCAAGGAUGUUUUCAUUGA